GAAAGGAGAGCUAGAUUCAGACUUCCUGUCAGAAAUAUAAGACAGACCAACUCAAAGACUACUAAUCCAAAGUCUUUCUCCAAUCUGAGUGUAUCCAAGUUCACUAAGAGCCUCAAUGGGACUCUAGGCAGUGUUCACACCCAAAUUGUAUCACCGGAAAAGGGACAUAUAUAGUGUACAAGGGUCAGCUCACAAGUGUCCAAGUUCAUAAGGAGCUCAAAGGGUCCUAGGUCAAGGCUCAGAAGAGGGGGCAGAACAUAAUGUCUAGAGAGAGUGCAAGUGAAGAAGAGAAUUCUAAGGAAUAAAUGAGAGGGAAACAACUAUAAACAGGUACACAAAGGGGUUCAGGGGAGUAGGGGAAUUGCGAAAAGCCUAUUGCUUAGUCUAGAUCAAUCGUUAGGCAUGCGCAGCAAUGGAGGAUGAUGGCAUGCCUAUAGGUCUGCUAGGAGACACAUUAUUAGAGGAUAGGUCCCAGGUGCUCAAUUUUAAGUUACAGACAAUAAUUUGUAGUACUUUCAUGCCUCAAACAAUUGCAUAAACACAUAAGGGGGGGUUUGGAAUAAUAAUAGAUUUAGAAUAGGCAGAAGGAAAAUACAGCAUGCUAAAGUAAACAUUGAACUAUUCAUAAGCAGUAGGCAGACAUGCAAUUAAAGGUAGUAAAUGAACACAUUGUUGUGGUUGCUAAAAACCUUAAUCAAGACAUACCAGUUUCAAAUAAGUAAAAUACAGCAGUAGCAGUACUUAAAAAAACAUACCACAACACAAGUAACAAGAGAGAAUGCUUUUGGAAUGUGGGUGUGUGUUCAGAAAACUUAGAGCGUUUAUGUGUUUGUUUCAGUAAAGAAGCAGGUAUUUAUAGUGUGAAGACAUGCUGAAAAUAAGGCAAGAAAAUUACCAUGUGCCAAUUAAAAUCAAUCAGUAGAAGAACUUCCUUUAAAUAAGGAGUUCAAACUUAAACGGUAAUAAACAUAAAUAAUUUAAGGAAAUAGAUCGAGUAAGCAUCUAGUGCAAAGUAGGCAAUUAGGGAUAAAUACAUAGGAGUUUAAUUAAGGGAAGAAUUUUUGAAAUACACGGUUAAGAAAAUAAGGUAAGUAACACAAUAAAAUCAAUCGGUACAUAGUAAAUCAAGGAGUCAUGAAUUCGAAAUCACUGGUUCAUGAGUAAACCAAGUCAGAAAGACUAAGGAAAGUUUUCGAAUCAAACUAAGUAACAGGGAAAUUAGCAAACAAGGAAAGAAUCAAUCAAACUUACACAAAGGGGG
Molecule: long non-coding RNA, 1261 nt
Filed under: Nicotiana benthamiana
Lineage: Eukaryota; Viridiplantae; Streptophyta; Magnoliopsida; Solanales; Solanaceae
Description: long non-coding RNA (NBEN_LNC018899)
Source: RNAcentral